ACUCCUACGGGAGGCAGCAGUGGGGAAUAUUGCACAAUGGGGGAAACCCUGAUGCAGCCAUGCCGCGUGUGUGAAGAAGGCCUUCGGGUUGUAAAGCACUUUCAGUAGGGAGGAAGGUAGUGUAGUUAACACCUGCACUAUUUGACGUUACCUACAGAAGAAGCACCGGCUAACUCCGUGCCAGCAGCCGCGGUAAUACGGAGGGUGCGAGCGUUAAUCGGAAUUACUGGGCGUAAAGCGCAUGCAGGCGGCCUGUUAAGUCAGAUGUGAAAGCCCGGGGCUUAACCUCGGAAUUGCAUUUGAAACUGGCAGGCUAGAGUCUUGUAGAGGGGGGUAGAAUUUCAGGUGUAGCGGUGAAAUGCGUAGAGAUCUGAAGGAAUACCAAGUGGCGAAGGCGGCCCCCUAGGACAAAGACUGACGCUCAGAUGCGAAAGCGUGGGGAGCAAACAGGAUUAGACACCCUGGUGGCACAGAG
This 475-nucleotide ribosomal RNA is filed under the name uncultured bacterium. RNAcentral's name for it is "bacterial SSU rRNA". It matches the Rfam family "Bacterial small subunit ribosomal RNA", at positions 335 to 799 of the family's 1533-position model. The record is from RNAcentral.